AACACGCCUCGCACAGCAUGCCACCUCACAAAUCAAAGAACUGCUGGCACGCGGGGCUGUGGGUCUGUAAAAGCAGGAGAAGGCCGACAGAUGCAGCUGUUUUGUUUCGCUCUCACCACAGAACUUUCCAACUAUCUGUCACAGAAGUUCAGGUUGCCUGGCAACAAGGUCGUGCUUGUCGCAGCGGGUUGCCACAAUGACAGUCGCUAGGCGGGAGCCUACCAACAAAGACAUCAGGUGUUACUUCCCACUGCUUGUCUGCGGACACUUCCAUCGACCUCCAACGGCUGCCGUGUGUGUGUGUACACUGCACACUCCCUGUAUGAAGAUCUGUCUGUUGACGUUGGCAGAGUGUGUGUGUUGCUGCUGGCUGCAACAAAGUGAGAAAAGCCUUCUGCAGCACACUCCUCAGCCCGGCCACCGCAAGAGUACACAAACUCAUGAACAACAAAGACGUCAUGUUUCCUCACCAAACAGCAAGCUGUUUCAGGACCUGUCACUGGCUUUCAUGAAAGUGUGCUAUUCACAUUUCUGCAAAAACAGUAUUAUGUCUUAUGCAUUCAUUGGGCUUAAAUGGCUGGUGCUUUAAUUACUUGAUUUAAUGUAUGUUUCAAGGACACAUCCUUGAGUCACUUGGACCCUGUUUAUGAUUUAGUAAACUAUUGAAUGGACAUUUUCUCUCUGUCCCUACUGUAUUAAUUAAAUUGUGGAGUGAUUGUGAUGGUACAUAUUUGCCAACAAUGAGCUGUACGGUGUUUACAAACAUCUUAUCAUUCAUUUUAGUUUAUUAUUGUGUUCUAAGAGGAAAUGUUGGUCUGUUGGGUCCACCACUUUAUUCCAAACUAAUAUAUCUCAACAACUAUUGGAUGGAUUGCCAAGACAUUUUGUACAGCAUUAAUGUUCCACAGAGAAUGAAGCCUAUUGAUUUUGGUAAACAUUUUGUAUCCAAUAUUAGGGUUUGUAGACACAUUUCUGUAAAACCAACGACAAUCCCAUUAGUUGUACUUUUUGUCUAGUACUAUAUCCAAAUGUUAGCAUGUUAACAUGCUAAACCAAGACAGGUAACAUACUUAUGCGAAACAUUAGCAUUUUAGUAUUGUCAUUGUGCACAUGUAUGCAUAUCUACGAUUGCAUUUAGCUUUUUCUAGUAUUAGAACAAAACAAAUGCCAACCAGAAAGAUGAGUUCAGGCUGAAUAAUUAGGCAGAUUGUUUCACUUGAAUAAAAGUUCUGAUAUUAUGUUGAUUUGUACAGAAUGAGGUUAAAACAGUCUGACAGCACGUGAAGUUUUCCAUAUGUUUUAAGAAAAAAACUUUUUUGCAAUGUUAACAUACCAAAUCACUUAAAUGU
Anoplopoma fimbria (sablefish) is the source of this 1349-nucleotide long non-coding RNA. RefSeq lists it as uncharacterized. The transcript is spliced from 3 exons. The record is from RefSeq and is a predicted model, not a curated record. Lineage: Eukaryota; Metazoa; Chordata; Actinopteri; Perciformes; Anoplopomatidae.